CCGUCGUAGGGAAGCAUUGUCACCCUCCUGAGCAUCGACGGCGGGGGCGUACGCGGCAUCAUCCCGGGCACCAUCCUCGGUUUCCUCGAAGAGAAGCUCCAGGAACUUGAUGGACCCGAGGCCAGGGUUGCCGACUACUUCGACGUGAUUGCAGGGACCAGAACCGGCGGGCUGGUGACCGCCAUGCUCACCGCGCCUAAUGCCGACGGCCGCCCGCUCUUCGCCGCCAAGGACAUCAACGCCUUCUACCUGGAGCACUGCCCAAAGAUCUUCCCUCGCGUCAAGCGCGGGCCUCUCGGCUUGCUCAAGAGCAUCAAGGGGCCCAAGUACAACGGCAAAUAUCUGCACUCCGUCGUGCGAAAGCAGCUCGGGGAGACACGCGUGAGCCAAGCGUUGCAGAACAUCGUCGUCCCAGCCUUCGACAUCAAGCUGCUGCAGCCAAUCAUCUUCUCCAGAUACGAUGCUCAAAGCGACGUCUCCAAAGACGCCCUCCUCUCCGACGUAUGCAUCAGCACGUCCGCCGCGCCCACCUACCUGCCCGGCCACCACUUCGAGACCACGGACAAGCACGGCAAGCCACGCGCAUUCAAUCUGAUCGACGGCGGCGUCGCGGCAAACAACCCGACGCUGCUGGCCAUGACCCACGUCAGCAAGCAGAUCCUCAUGGGCAACAAUGAUUUCUUCCCAAUCAAACCGGCCGACUAUGGGAAGUUCCUCAUCCUCUCCCUGGGCACCGGGUCGGCCAAGCUCACGGAGAUGAGCAGGGACGUCAGUUAUCAACUUCAGAUCUCCAUUGCUCCUGGCCAUGGCAGCGAUUUCAUGGGCCAGUUUAUUGCAUCCGGCCCCUUCCUACCAGACUGGCCUUGGCCGACGCAAAAAGUUUGA
RNAcentral lists this ribosomal RNA (885 nucleotides) under Triticum aestivum (bread wheat). Its description in RNAcentral is "partial small subunit ribosomal RNA". The record is from RNAcentral. Lineage: Eukaryota; Viridiplantae; Streptophyta; Magnoliopsida; Poales; Poaceae.